This 465-nucleotide ribosomal RNA is filed under the name Vreelandella stevensii. RNAcentral describes it as "partial 16S ribosomal RNA". It matches the Rfam family "Bacterial small subunit ribosomal RNA", at positions 338 to 795 of the family's 1533-position model. The record is from RNAcentral. Lineage: Bacteria; Pseudomonadati; Pseudomonadota; Gammaproteobacteria; Oceanospirillales; Halomonadaceae.
CCUACGGGGGGCUGCAGUGGGGAGUAUUGGACAAUGGGCGAAAGCCUGAUCCAGCCAUGCCGCGUGUGUGAAGAAGGCCUUCGGGUUGUAAAGCACUUUCAGUGGGGAAGAAAGCCUUGGGGCUAAUACCCUCGAGGAAGGACAUCACCCACAGAAGAAGCACCGGCUAACUCCGUGCCAGCAGCCGCGGUAAUACGGAGGGUGCGAGCGUUAAUCGGAAUUACUGGGCGUAAAGCGCGCGUAGGCGGUCUGAUAAGCCGGUUGUGAAAGCCCCGGGCUCAACCUGGGAACGGCAUCCGGAACUGUCAGGCUAGAGUGCAGGAGAGGAAGGUAGAAUUCCCGGUGUAGCGGUGAAAUGCGUAGAGAUCGGGAGGAAUACCAGUGGCGAAGGCGGCCUUCUGGACUGACACUGACGCUGAGGUGCGAAAGCGUGGGUAGCAAACAGGAUUAGAUACCCGAGUAGUC